AAGCCAAACAAGCAAUAUAAAAUCAAGAAGUGUAGAAUAUAUCUUGAUGGUACCUUGCUGAAAAUUUUUAGCACUUGGGAUCUUCAACUUCUCAUGCUUGGAACCGCUUCCUCACUAUCGUGGCUCUGAUACCAACUGUUGGAGCACGAUCCCGACUCCUCCCACGGACCUUGGGUGCAGCGGAACCAGCAACAAACAAAUCUGGAUACUUCUGGACUCGAUAGAAGGUCCUUGACGAAAUCAGAUCUGAGAGAUUCCAGAUCUGAGAGGAACUUGUACCAACCUCUUUGUAAGAGAUUCCAGGUCCUGGACCUGAUGUUUGGACGGCUGCAAGAGAAGGGAGAGGCUUGGUGCUUGGCGGCACAAAGGAGAAGGGGCUAGUGCCUCCCCUGCUUUUCCUGCCUUUUUGGGACCUGGCGGCAAGAAAUCCUAGGGUUUCUUGCUCCUGGGGCGUGGAGAAUAGUUGGAGAGAGAGGAAGAAGAGAGAGAGAG
RNAcentral lists this long non-coding RNA (492 nucleotides) under Elaeis guineensis (African oil palm). Its description in RNAcentral is "long non-coding RNA (EGUI_LNC081836)". Lineage: Eukaryota; Viridiplantae; Streptophyta; Magnoliopsida; Arecales; Arecaceae. The record is from RNAcentral.